Molecule: small RNA, 267 nt
Filed under: Terribacillus aidingensis
Lineage: Bacteria; Bacillati; Bacillota; Bacilli; Caryophanales; Bacillaceae
Description: BsrG
Rfam family: BsrG
About the family: bsrE, bsrG and bsrH pair through intermolecular interactions with antisense sRNAs. SR4 interaction with the 3'UTR of bsrG RNA promotes bsrG degradation and inhibits its translation.
Source: Rfam by way of RNAcentral
GACAAUAGCAUAGAUGACUCAAGGGUGGUCGGCUCACUUAUCCCUCCAGGGAGGGAGGUGAUGCCUCUGACAGUAUUCGAAACGCUGACGCUGAUGAUUUCUUUCGGUACGCUGGUUGUUGCGAUUAUGUCUGAUAAAAACCAAAAAAAAUAACCACCCUUGAGUGACAGCUCAUGAUGGGUAGGUUAUUUUUUCGCUCUUCUGUGGGUCGAUUCCUUUGAGGAAUCCUUGCUAUUGCUUGACCGUUUGAUGUUACCAGCACCAGGC